UCUGAAAUAAACACAUAAGGAAGCAGGAGAAUAAUUACAACCAUGAUUUAUUUUAUAAAUAAUGUUUACAUGCCAGAAGAUUUUUAAAAAGAUACUAAAAAAAUAAAAUUACACUGAACGUGCACUUUGAUUAUUAGGAUCUGCACAGUGGAUAAGCUCUAUUUUCAAAAUGUUCCAGAACACAUUUGGAACUCCCUUUAAGAAAAAAAAGUAAAAAUCAUCUUAAAUAAAAAAUGGACCAUAAACAA
Long non-coding RNA from Sapajus apella (tufted capuchin), 248 nucleotides. RefSeq lists it as uncharacterized. The record is from RefSeq and is a predicted model, not a curated record. The transcript has 2 exons. Lineage: Eukaryota; Metazoa; Chordata; Mammalia; Primates; Cebidae.